CCUGAAUGUCUCAAUAAUAGUCACAUCAUGUUUCAGACUUCACUUUGCAGGUACCUUUGGCAAAGGACUUUGUUCUAAGCAAAUAUUUUCUUAAAACCUGCGUUUGAUUCUCUUUUUUUUGUGUGUGUGUGUUCCAAAAGGACCAGUGACCAGAAAUCAGGCAUGUACUGUACAAGUUAGACGUUUUGGUCUCAUCAGAUUUGCACCAGUGGUGCUCUUGAAGUUCAAGUGUCUCUGUGAGCAUACAACUAGAUGCCAAAUGAUUUGUGAUGAGACCAGAAUUGAUAAAUAUGAUGACUGUUGUGCAUCAUCUACUUAUCUGAAGUUGCACUUUGGGAUGUCUGCCUUUGGCACAGAAACUCCAAGAAAUCAUUGGUUCAUAAUGUAUGCUUUGUUUUUUAUUUAGCUUAAACAAUAUACAACAACAACAACUGUGUUUCAAACAGUGUACGUUGCUAAGGAUACCUGCAGAAAUACAGGGUUAAGUCUAAAACCUGAUACCUGUCUAUACUGGGAAUUCUGGGAAACAUGACUUCUCUAGUUUCUGUGCCCAAGGCUUGCUUCCCAAAGUCCAAUAAGUGAUAUGCACGUGAUGCACAGAAUAUAUGUGGAAUGAUAUGACAACUUAAUGAAAACACAAAACACAUACAUAGAAAAUCACCAUCACAAAAUGGAAAAUAAGAGGAAACCAACAGAGUGCAUUAUAAAUAGAGAUGAGCGGACACCUGGAUGUUUGAAUUAAGUACAUCCUUAUUCAUUUAUUAAUCUGCAAUUUGUAUUUCCAUUUCCACUGAGUCCUGUAUUUAUUAUUGAUUUAUUUCAAUAAGCACUCAACACUUUUUUAUAUUUUUAACCCCCGGUGGUGGUCAUCUUUUACAAGUGAUACAGUGGUUAUGGUUGUCACAUCCAAUCUUGAGAUCUAACUUUAGAAGGAUACUCUACCAUUUGUUGGUGUUUAUUCAUCGUAUAGUUGCAUAUUUACCUGGAUUCGGCCGAACUUCGAAUUUUUGGGCACUAAAAUGGCUCUAAAAAAGUCCUGGAAAGGGCUAGAGAGCCUCAAAAGGACGUAAAAUAGGGGGUAAGAGUAGGACAAGUGCCCUGCAAACAAAUGUGGAUAGGGAAAUAACUUAAAAUAAC
Molecule: non-coding RNA, 1137 nt
Organism: Pelobates cultripes (western spadefoot toad)
Lineage: Eukaryota; Metazoa; Chordata; Amphibia; Anura; Pelobatidae
Source: the annotation of a GenBank genome assembly